RNAcentral lists this transfer RNA (77 nucleotides) under Bacteroidetes bacterium GWE2_42_42. RNAcentral describes it as "tRNA-Asn". It matches the Rfam family "tRNA". Rfam says of the family: Transfer RNA (tRNA) molecules are approximately 80 nucleotides in length. RNAcentral also lists the same sequence under 2 other names. Lineage: Bacteria; Pseudomonadati; Bacteroidota. The record is from RNAcentral.
UCCUCCCUAGCUCAGUUGGUUAGAGCAUCUGACUGUUAAUCAGAGGGUCGCUGGUUCAAGUCCAGCGGGGGGAGCAA